GCCUAACGCAAGAGGGCGAUCACCACGGUGUGGUUCAUGACUGGGGUGAAGUCGUAACAAGGUAGCCGUAGGGGAACCUGCGGCUGGAUCACCUCCUUAAACGA
RNAcentral lists this ribosomal RNA (104 nucleotides) under Vreelandella boliviensis LC1. RNAcentral describes it as "Halomonas boliviensis LC1 partial 16S ribosomal RNA". It matches the Rfam family "Bacterial small subunit ribosomal RNA", at positions 1433 to 1533 of the family's 1533-position model. Lineage: Bacteria; Pseudomonadati; Pseudomonadota; Gammaproteobacteria; Oceanospirillales; Halomonadaceae. The record is from RNAcentral.